RNAcentral lists this ribosomal RNA (467 nucleotides) under uncultured bacterium. RNAcentral describes it as "partial 16S ribosomal RNA". It matches the Rfam family "Bacterial small subunit ribosomal RNA", at positions 28 to 507 of the family's 1533-position model. The record is from RNAcentral.
GAUGAACGCUGGCGGCGUGCUUAACACAUGCAAGUCGAACGGAAAGGCCCAAGCUUGCUUGGGUACUCGAGUGGCGAACGGGUGAGUAACACGUGGGUGAUCUGCCCUGCACUUCGGGAUAAGCCUGGGAAACUGGGUCUAAUACCGGAUAGGACCACAUUUUGGAUGGUGUGGUGGAAAGUUUUUCGGUGUGGGAUGAGCUCGCGGCCUAUCAGCUUGUUGGUGGGGUAAUGGCCUACCAAGGCGUCGACGGGUAGCCGGCCUGAGAGGGUGUACGGCCACAUUGGGACUGAGAUACGGCCCAGACUCCUACGGGAGGCAGCAGUGGGGAAUAUUGCACAAUGGGCGCAAGCCUGAUGCAGCGACGCCGCGUGGGGGAUGAAGGCCUUCGGGUUGUAAACUCCUUUCGCUAGGGACGAAGCGUUUUUGUGACGGUACCUGGAGAAGAAGCACCGGCUAACUACGUG